GAGACAUUGUGUGUGUGAGAGAGAGAGGUGUGUGAGAGAGGAGAGAGACAUUGUGUGUGUGAGAGAGACAGAGGUGUGAGAGAGAGAGGUGUGAGAGAGAGAGGGGAGAGAGAGGGGAGAGACAUUGUGUGUGAAAGGGAGGUGUGAGAGAGAGAGGUGAGAGAGGAGAGAGACAUUGUGUGUGAGAGAGAGAGGUGUGUGAGAGAGAGGAGAGAGACAUUGUGUGAGUGAGAGAGAGAGAGGUGAGAGAGAGGUGUGAGAGGGAGGAGAGAGACAUUGUGUGAGUGAGAGAGAGAGGUGAGAGAGAGAGGUGUGUGAGAGAGAGGAGAGAGACAUUGUGUGAGUGAGAGAGAGAGAGGUGAGAGAGAGAGAGGUGUGAGAGGGAGAGGUGUGAGAGGGAGGGAGGGAGGUGUGUGUAGAGCGGCUCUGCGUCUGGUCAGCUGUGGCCUCUGGCCCUCUCCAACAUGCAGGCCCGGGUCCGGUCUCGCUCCCUGUCCCGU
Long non-coding RNA from Erinaceus europaeus (western European hedgehog), 500 nucleotides. RefSeq lists it as uncharacterized. The record is from RefSeq and is a predicted model, not a curated record. The transcript has 3 exons. Lineage: Eukaryota; Metazoa; Chordata; Mammalia; Eulipotyphla; Erinaceidae.